AGAGUUUGAUCCUGGCUCAGGAUGAACGCUAGCGGCAGGCUUAAUACAUGCAAGUCGAGGGGCAACAGGGGUAGCAAUACCUGCUGGCGACCGGCAAACGGGUGUGGAACACGUACAGAACCUUCCUUUAAGCGGGGGAUAGCCCGGAGAAAUCCGGAUUAAUACCCCAUAGUAUUGUUGUGUGGCAUCACACGAUAAUUAAAGAUUUAUCACUUAAAGAUGGCUGUGCGGCUGAUUAGGUAGUUGGUGUAGGUAAAGGCUCACCAAGCCAGCGAUCAGUAACUGGUGUGAGAGCACGACCAGUCACACGGGCACUGAGACACGGGCCCGACUCCUACGGGAGGCAGCAGUAAGGAAUAUUGGUCAAUGGAGGUAACUCUGAACCAGCCAUGCCGCGUGAAGGAUGAAGGUCCUCUGGAUUGUAAACUUCUUUUAUGUGGGAAGAAAUGCCUGUUUUAUAAUAGGUUUGACGGUACCAUAGGAAUAAGCACCGGCUAACUCCGUGCCAGCAGCCGCGGUAAUACGGAGGGUGCGAGCGUUAUCCGGAUUCACUGGGUUUAAAGGGUGCGUAGGUGGGAAUGUAAGUCAGUGGUGAAAUCUCUGAGCUUAACUCAGAAACUGCCAUUGAUACUAUGUUUCUUGAAUUUUCUGGAGGUCAGCGGAAUAUGUCAUGUAGCGGUGAAAUGCUUAGAUAUGACAUAGAACACCAAUUGCGAAGGCAGCUGGCUACAGGGAUAUUGACACUGAGGCACGAAAGCGUGGGGAUCAAACAGGAUUAGAUACCCCCGUAGUCC
Molecule: ribosomal RNA, 794 nt
Filed under: uncultured Segetibacter sp.
Lineage: Bacteria; Pseudomonadati; Bacteroidota; Chitinophagia; Chitinophagales; Chitinophagaceae
Description: bacterial SSU rRNA
Rfam family: Bacterial small subunit ribosomal RNA
Source: RNAcentral